This 474-nucleotide ribosomal RNA is filed under the name Triticum aestivum (bread wheat). Its description in RNAcentral is "partial small subunit ribosomal RNA". Lineage: Eukaryota; Viridiplantae; Streptophyta; Magnoliopsida; Poales; Poaceae. The record is from RNAcentral.
AUGGGUCUUAUUAAGCUUAAUGUCGACGCCUCUUAUGACCAUGAUUUACUUAGGGGCACGGCUGGGGCUGUUCUCAGAGAUGAUAAUGGAAGAUUCAUUGUUGGUGGAAACUGGAGGAUUGAUUGGUGUGCUGACGUAUUAACAUCAAAAGCUUUGGCUCUAAGAUUCGGCCUAUCCCUUGCACAAAAGGCGGGAUGCAAUCGUCUUCUUGUUAAUUCUGAUAAUAUGGAGGUGAUUGAAGUAAUGAAAAAUGGAGGACAUUCGGCGGGAGCGGCGGCAGUAGUAUUCGAUGAUUGCUAUUUCAUAUCUUGUGAUUUUCUUGUUAGAUUUGAACAUUUUAAUGGGGAAGCAAAUAAGGUGGCUCAUGAAAUUGCCAGGCUAGCAAAAUUUUCAGCCACUACAGACUGGUUUGAGGAGCCUAUGAGAGAUAUUGUUCAUUUACUUAUUGACGAUGUAACUAUUAUUUCUAAUUAA